GGCGGCGAGGCCGGGGGCUGUGGACCGGCCCGCCGGGGAGGGGCCAGGGAGAGGGGGGCGGCCCCUCGGUCAGCGCGGCCCGGAGGCCAGACCUGGUGCCCAGCUCCCCAGCGGGCGCCUGCCCUGGGCUGUAGUACGGGAGCCUCGGCAGUCUCGGGCGAGAGUUUCGGGAGAGGGUCCCGAGAUCCCGCCUUGCGGGGUUCGGAACCCGGCCCUGGCCCGCGACUCGGACCUACCCCGAGCAGGGCCCCGGUGAGGCCGCGGUGCCCCCGCUUUCAGAGCCCCGCCGCGCGCGGAACCGCAGGAGCAGGACGUCCACCGGCGGUUUGCGAGCGGCGGGCUCGGGAUUCUAGGCUUCUCCUAUUGUGACUAUUUGUAGUUUGUAAGUUUUUUUCUAGUGAACACUGUGGUGCUUUUUCAUUAAGAGCGGCGAUUUUUUCAAGGCGCCUGCAGAAGUUGAGCGGCCCGCCCCCGCAGUGUGAGCGGCCCCUUUCCGGACUGCAGGACUGCGCGUUCCUGGGCCCGGGACCCGGCUCCUCCUCCCUCGGCUCCCCGGCCGGCCCCGCCCCGCCCCCGCCCAUGCCCCGCCCUCCACUCCUGACCCCGCCCCUCCCCCGGCUGCGGCGAAAAUCCGGAGUGGCGGAUUGCCCUCUGCUCCGCGGGAGCCGGCUGUGGGCUCCUGCAGGAGCGGUGCCGGGGGUGCGGCUGACGCCGCUCCGCGCUCCCUCUUCUCACUCUGUCCUGGGCGAGCCACGCGGGGCAGCGCCGCGACCCCAGCCGCCGGCCCUGCCUCAGAAGCGGGUCAGGACCCGACUGAGCAUGCUCGCCCUCCAGCGCAGCGUGGCUCGACCAGGUGGACGCUGCCGGGACCCGGGGUCGGACCGCGCAGGGGAGGCGCAGGUGCGUGGUCCGGCCGCAGGUGCAGGGGACCUGGCUGGAAGGCGGGGGAGGGGCAUCUGGCCUGCAGGCUUGCCAGCCAGCCUGUCCCAGCUCUCCUCCCAGCUCUGCGUCUCUCCAGCUUCCUUCCUAAAUCACCACCACCACCUGCCCUAGGAGUGGAGCCCUUGGGUUGGAGCCAGCUGAUUGGAUGUGAGCUCUAAG
This 1101-nucleotide long non-coding RNA is filed under the name Sus scrofa (pig). Its description in RNAcentral is "lncRNA (ENSSSCG00060062008.1)". The record is from RNAcentral. Lineage: Eukaryota; Metazoa; Chordata; Mammalia; Artiodactyla; Suidae.